AUUAAAUUGGUAAACCGGUUGGUCUGUCCACUAAACCGGAGAGUGAGAAUGCGGUCGCUGGCGAGAAAGCGGCCGACGAUCGUUUCCUCUUCGCCGACUCCAUCACUGUCCUUCAGAUCCAGCCGCUCUCGCUGACGCCUACUCCCCCAAUGUCAUAGCUCUCUCUCUCUCUCUCUCGUGCUACAAUGCAACACCGGCGAGUCUCCGAUGGUGUGAUUUUCGAGCUUUUUGAAUCUGAUUGAUGGUAUUUGUUAGACCUGGAAGGUGGGUGGUGCGUGGCUAUGGAGGCUACAACGCCCGAUGGACUUUGUUCUUGCUUCAUCACACUUUCCCUCUCGACUCUUCAAGCCCUCCUUCUGGGCCCUUGAUAGGCAGCAUGUACCUGUGGAAGAAACCUAAGAAAAUUUGCUCAGCUUCUGAAGCCUCCUAAAUGAACGAACCCUGUAACUUUCAAUAGAGGAGUUCCAAAUGUAUUUUCAGUUAUAUCAGCAUGCUACAAAUUGUUGCUUCUCCCUUCUUAUAGAAGUGUUCAACUACCUCGCUAGUUGCGCUUAUAAUGUAACUCGCUUCCAAUUUAUGAAACCGGGCAUAAAAGCAAUGCCAGGCGUUUAAUUCAAAUCACUGAAAUUUGGAGCACAUUUCUGCUUGCCCUGCCGCCAGUUUUCGCAGGAGACGUAUCAUGUAGGAACUAUGAGAAGUUGAUAAGAUUGAUGGGUCUGCAUCUGCUAGACGAGGGCAAUGCAUUGGUGCAUCAAGUAUCGAAAAUGUUCAGAGAAGCAUGGCUCUCUCCGGGAAAGAUCCCAGGCAAAGCUUUCGAAGGCCAGUGCUCGUAGGAUUUGGGUUCACCGGAAUCUUCAGAACUCGACAUUCCAGUUCAUAGAUCCAAGAGCCAGCCUCUUCUGUUCUGUAUGUUUCUCUCCAGACAUCAAGAGAUCAGUUCCCAAACAAUAAACCACUAUUGCUCUCCAUGAUGCCUAAAGUUAACAGGCUAAAUCUUCAUUUCUUAAAUUUCAAUUUAUUGUUACAAGUUCUUAAGUCAUGUAUCUCUGUAAUUCCACUCUCCAAUGGGUAAAUAUGGAGAGUUUUCCAUGAAGGGUCCGAAAUUCAUUUCAA
RNA transcript from Tarenaya hassleriana, 1113 nucleotides. It is a transcript of the gene named GDSL esterase/lipase At5g62930-like, with no coding region annotated. The record is from RefSeq and is a predicted model, not a curated record. The transcript has 6 exons. NCBI's taxonomy places the organism in Eukaryota, Viridiplantae, Streptophyta, Magnoliopsida, Brassicales, Cleomaceae.